Molecule: ribosomal RNA, 374 nt
Filed under: uncultured fungus
Lineage: Eukaryota; Fungi
Description: eukaryotic LSU rRNA
Rfam family: Eukaryotic large subunit ribosomal RNA (bases 205-374)
Source: RNAcentral
GUCGUGAACUCCUCCACCCUCCACCUUUUUCGAAGGGUGUUGGGCUGGGAUUUGGGAGCAUGCGGGUCCCUGGCCGAUCCGCUCUCCUUGAAUGCAUUAGCGAAGCCCUGUGCGGCCUUGGUGUGAUAAUCAUCUACGCCUCGGUUUAGCGAACCUUACGGGAAUCGCUUACAGCCGUCUCGCAAGAGACAACGACUACCAACUUGACCUCAAAUCCGGCGGGACUACCCGCUGAACUUAAGCAUAUCAAUAAGCGGAGGAAAAGAAACUAACAAGGAUUCCCCUAGUAACUGCGGGUGAAGCGGGAUGAGCUCAAAUUUAAAAUCUGGCGUCUUCGGCGUCCGAGUUGUAAUUUAGAGAAGCGUCUUCCGUGC